Non-coding RNA from Aegilops tauschii subsp. strangulata, 1655 nucleotides. The record is from RefSeq and is a predicted model, not a curated record. Lineage: Eukaryota; Viridiplantae; Streptophyta; Magnoliopsida; Poales; Poaceae.
UUCAUUUCUUCUUCUAUUGCUCCCUGCGGCGGCUACGGUUGUACUCUUCUACUCGUCUCCUCCCCCUCCUCCUCUUCUGUUCAAUACACUUCUUCUCGCCUGGUACUCUUCUACUGAAGUGGAUCUACUCUCCACUAGUUCAUCUGGACAGCAAAUUGGAUUUGAAGAACUGCUAUUCAGGCCGUGUGUAGAUCAAGAGCAACUACAAAUAAAGGUUGACAUAUGGAGGUUUGUAUGGAGUGUGAGAAUUCCAGCGAUAAAGAGAUGGAGACAGCCAAGGCUUGGCUGAGGCGCGCAGCACAAGCCCAUCCAAAACGUCCCACCAUUCAAAUCGAUUAGACACGAGUGCUGACUGACAUGCCUCUGCCGCCAGGAAGGCCUUCAAUGUAAUCCCGGAGCCAUGUACUGGUGAUUCCAUCAGUUGCCAUGGAUACUGUUCCAACAUUUGAAACAACUGAUCACUGCACCACUGUAGGCACCGGCAUCUCUUUUGAUUCGUGUACCGGUACUCCGGUAGUGCAGCUCCCAAUAAAGAAGGCUCAUUCUCUCCAACGUAUGUGAAUUCAGUCUUUUGCUACAUGGAGGCUUGCACGUUGUUCAUGAUGAACUGUUUCUUACUUCUGCAUAUGCUUUCAGAAAUGCAGCACCGCAUAUGCUUUCAGAAAUGCAGCACUGCAUUUCCUUUGUUCAGUCAAGACUCGUACAAUAAAAUGUUGCAUUCAGUUCGCACUAUUUGUAGUACUAUUUUCAGAAAUGCAGCACCGCAUAAUGCGCUGCGUUGUUUUGUUUUUCUUGGCUUAUUUAAGUUAUUAUUAAUGAGGAGUUGAUGGAACUCCUGUUGGCUUGUCCUGCUUUGCUUGCACCUAAGGCUCUUAGAAUAAAAGGUUAGCUGAUUGAACUCGUGUUGUAGCUUCCGAUUUGCUUCAUGUUAAGAUUUCUCUUCUUAUUGCAACUGGGUCUAUCUACUAAACUGCUGUUUCGAGCUCGUCGGAUUUUCGUGAUAGAGCCUCCAAGGUAGCAAGAGAGCCUCGAACUACCACAUCCAAUUGGAACUGGUAGGAAGUAUGUUAAUUCCGGUCGAAUUAGAGCCGGUUGUCGCGCAACCCAGGGGGCAGGAUCUGCCCUUGUUUGUUGCAGAGCAGCCCAAGCCCCCAUCCCCAUGGGCCAUGGCACCCCCUUCUCCAACCAGUUUUACAACAGAGUUGAGGAGCAACGUGAGAACUAGUUCUGAAUCUGUGCUAUCACGUCACUGGGUUCCUUUGGAGUUGAUUCAGUUUCAGGUUGCUACUUUAGAAUAGCAGCCACUCGUGUAUAGCUCCUCAACAUACUUAACCAUUUUGGGUUUGUCAACCAUAUACUGGAAGAGAUUUUCUAGCAGUCAAGGAGUCCUGUUUGUUUCAAGGAGGGGAAUGUUAGGACUAUCUCCUGACCGUUUACACUCUGGCUCUGCAUCCCGAUCCCCUCUCAUGCCUCCCAACUACAACGGCCAUGUGUUAAUCCCUGCGUGAUUGAGUGAACCGGGUAGUGGGUUGCUAGCAGGGUUCUCCAAGAUGAUGACGCCUAAUUCAUCCAGCUCUGGAAAUUUACAGAGGGAUAUAUAAACCCCUAAAUCCUCAUCGAGGUGUGAGAUCGACAACUGCUCCAGAUUGUUUCAU